Molecule: long non-coding RNA, 221 nt
Filed under: Arachis ipaensis
Lineage: Eukaryota; Viridiplantae; Streptophyta; Magnoliopsida; Fabales; Fabaceae
Description: long non-coding RNA (AIPA_LNC002621)
Source: RNAcentral
AGAUAUGGUUUUCCAGAUGCAUCAGUGUGCUUAUAAGUCGUACGGCCAGGCCGCAUCAGUGUGACUUUAAGUCGUACGGCUAGGCCGCAUCAGUGUGACUUUCCAAAUCAAUAAGCGUACAUCUGGAAAACAGUUCUCAGUGUGUGGGCGUCCCCACUUUACAUUUGGCACUAAGGCCCAAACAAUAUCACAUCUGCUCUCCUGUGGCAGACAUUUCAUUA